AUCCUCAGCUAUACCACCCUGGAUGGGCCCAUUCUCUCUGAUCCCUGAAGCUAAGCAGGAUGGGUCCUGGUUAGUACCUGGACGGGAGAGAUA
This 93-nucleotide ribosomal RNA is filed under the name Peromyscus maniculatus bairdii (prairie deer mouse). The record is from RNAcentral. Lineage: Eukaryota; Metazoa; Chordata; Mammalia; Rodentia; Cricetidae.